AGGACGAACGCUGGCGGCGUGCUUAACACAUGCAAGUCGAGCGGUAAGGCCUUUCGGGGUACACGAGCGGCGAACGGGUGAGUAACACGUGGGUGAUCUGCCCUGCACUCUGGGAUAAGCCUGGGAAACUGGGUCUAAUACCGGAUAUGACCUGCUCUCGCAGUGGGGGUGGGUGGAAAGAUUUAUCGGUGCAGGAUGGGCCCGCGGCCUAUCAGCUUUGGUUGGUGGGUAAUGGCCUACCGAAGGCGACGACGGGUA
Molecule: ribosomal RNA, 258 nt
Filed under: uncultured soil bacterium
Lineage: Bacteria
Description: partial 16S ribosomal RNA
Rfam family: Bacterial small subunit ribosomal RNA
Source: RNAcentral